RNAcentral lists this transfer RNA (86 nucleotides) under Bacillota bacterium. Its description in RNAcentral is "Firmicutes bacterium (anaerobic digester metagenome) tRNA-Tyr". It matches the Rfam family "tRNA". Rfam says of the family: Transfer RNA (tRNA) molecules are approximately 80 nucleotides in length. Their secondary structure includes four short double-helical elements and three loops (D, anti-codon, and T loops). Lineage: Bacteria; Bacillati; Bacillota. The record is from RNAcentral.
GGAGGGGUACCCAAGUGGCCAAAGGGGGCAGACUGUAAAUCUGUUGCGUGAUCGCUUCGAAGGUUCGAAUCCUUCCCCCUCCACCA